Molecule: long non-coding RNA, 701 nt
Filed under: Prunus persica (peach)
Lineage: Eukaryota; Viridiplantae; Streptophyta; Magnoliopsida; Rosales; Rosaceae
Description: long non-coding RNA (PPER_LNC008758)
Source: RNAcentral
AUCGGACAAUUCAGGUUCCUAUGAAGUUUGUUCUGAAAUGGGGUGGUUGGUGUAUUGUGUUCUAGAGAUUGGAUUUCAAUCAAAACCCACCAAAUGACUCCUCCCACAAUAUUAUGAUGUUCCCCAAGUUUUGGACUCAAUCCGAUAUCGAUUGGUCCUUGAAAUCGGACAAUUCAGGUUCGUACGAAGUUCGUUCUAAAAUGGGGUGGUUGGUGUAUUGUAUAGUUCUAGAGAUUGGAUUUCACUCAAAACCCACCAAAUGACUCCUCCCCGAAUAUUAUGGUGUUCCCAAAGUUUUGGACUCAAUCCGAUAUCGAUCGGUCCAUGAAAUUUGACUAUUCAGGUUCGUUCGAAGUUCGUUCUGAAAUGGAGUGGUUGGUGUAUUGUAUAGUUCUAGAGCUUGGAUUUCACUCAAAACCCCCCAAAUGACUCCUCCCCCAAUAUUGUGAUGUUCCCCAAGUUUUGGACUCAAUCCGAUAUCGAUUGGUCCUUGAAAUCGGACAAUUCAGGUUCGUACGAAGUUCGUUCUAAAAUGGGGUGGUUGGUGUAUUGUAUAGUUCUAGAGAUUGGAUUUCACUCAAAACCCACCAAAUGACUCCUCCCAAAAUAUUAUGAUUUUCCCCAAGUUUUGGACUCAAUCCGAUAUCGAUUGGUCCUUGAAAUCGGACAAUUCAGGUUCGUACGAAGUUCGUUCGAAAUGG